Molecule: ribosomal RNA, 372 nt
Filed under: uncultured bacterium
Lineage: Bacteria
Description: bacterial SSU rRNA
Rfam family: Bacterial small subunit ribosomal RNA
Source: RNAcentral
GUAGGUGACGAGCGUUAUCCGGAAUUACUGGGCGUAAAGCGCACGCAAGCGGUUCUACAAGUCUGGCGUGAAAUUCUCUGGCUUAACCAGGGGGGGUCGCUGGAGACUGUGGGACUUGAGGCGAUGAGAGGGGUGCAGAAUUCCCGGUGUAGUGGUGGAAUGCGUAGAUAUCGGGGGGAAUACCAGUGGCGAAAGCGGCACCCUGGCGUCGUACUGACGCUCAUGUGCGAAAGCGUGGGGAGCGAACGGGAUUAGAUACCCCGGUAGUCCACGCUGUAAACGAUGAACACUAGGUGUGGGUGGAGUCAAUCUGUCCGUGCCAAAGCCAACGCGUUAAGUGUUCCGCCUGGGAAGUACGGCCGCAAGGCUAAA